UAUCUAGGGUCUUCACAUAUUGAUACACACACCAUUGCAACUUAGAUCACCAUCACCACCACCAUCCCCUGCAUCAGACACCCUAAAUCGUGCCCUUCAUCAGACACCCUACAGUAAAUGCACCACAAACAACACAGGCAAAGAAGAAGAAAA
This is a non-coding RNA of Pimephales promelas (fathead minnow), 153 nucleotides long. The record is from RefSeq and is a predicted model, not a curated record. NCBI's taxonomy places the organism in Eukaryota, Metazoa, Chordata, Actinopteri, Cypriniformes, Leuciscidae.